GGGGACGACAGGCUUCGACGUGGUCGGUUCGUGGGGGUGGUUGCGAGUCGAGGUCCCGGGCGGCCUCGUAAAACUCCCGGGAAAAAAAUAAGUGCGGACUCUCACGAGUUCGCGCUCGCCGCU
This 123-nucleotide transfer-messenger RNA is filed under the name Actinomycetota bacterium. RNAcentral's name for it is "partial transfer-messenger RNA". It matches the Rfam family "transfer-messenger RNA", at positions 1 to 125 of the family's 374-position model. From Rfam's summary of the family: Bacterial tmRNA, also known as 10Sa RNA or SsrA, is named for its dual tRNA and mRNA-like properties. Its role is to liberate the mRNA from a stalled ribosome. Lineage: Bacteria; Bacillati; Actinomycetota. The record is from RNAcentral.